UGGAGAAAGUCAUAGUGGCUAUGUGGUUGGCUUGAAACCAACUAUGGGAGGUUCAAUUCCUUCCUUUCUUAG
RNAcentral lists this transfer RNA (72 nucleotides) under Lepilemur randrianasoloi (Randrianasolo's sportive lemur). Its description in RNAcentral is "tRNA-Ser". It matches the Rfam family "tRNA". Rfam says of the family: Transfer RNA (tRNA) molecules are approximately 80 nucleotides in length. Lineage: Eukaryota; Metazoa; Chordata; Mammalia; Primates; Lepilemuridae. The record is from RNAcentral.